This is a long non-coding RNA of Alexandromys fortis (reed vole), 2147 nucleotides long. RefSeq lists it as uncharacterized. The transcript has 2 exons. The record is from RefSeq and is a predicted model, not a curated record. NCBI's taxonomy places the organism in Eukaryota, Metazoa, Chordata, Mammalia, Rodentia, Cricetidae.
UGCGCUUGUGCCAAAGAACAACCUUUUAGGGGGGACCUGGUCUCUCUUUUCACCCUGUGGGUCCUGGGGAUUGAACUCAGGUCAUAAGGUUUAAUGGCAAGUAUCUUUAACCACUGAGUGGUCUUACUGGACCCGUUUCUUUACGUUUCAAACAUGUUUCUUUUAGAUAACAUAGAGUUGAGUCUUGGAUACAAACUGAUAACCUCCACUAUUUAAUGAAUUAAUUACAUUUACCGUGCUUUUGCAAAUAUGGUUAGUUUGAUCACUAUUGUGCUGUAUUUCUGUUGUCCUGUUUGGUCUCUGUCCACCUUUUUUCUCUUUUUUUUUCCUUCUUUGGCUUACUAGUAUAAUUUGGGGGAGGGGUGUUUGUUUUCUGCUUUGGACGAUCAUCUCAUCGUGUAGCACUGACUCGUCUUGGCUCAAGCUCACCAGCCUUGCUCUGCCUCAGCCUCCUGGGUGCCGGGAUCGUUGGUGCACCGCCUUGCUUCUGCACUGCUAACUUUCUCCCUGAUGUGAAAAGCAUGUGACAAAAGCAGCUUCAGGGCUAAGGGGCCUGUUUGGCUCACAGUUCGAGGGUAAGGUCCGUCGUCACCCGUCAUGGCGCGUUGCUGUACACAGAGGCAGGAGCGUCAAACAGCAGCUCCACGGCAUUGCGACAUUCACGGUCAGGAAGCAGAGGGCAUCGAAUGCCUUGCUCUCUAUCGCUUUCUAGUCUGUCCAGGACUCCAGCCCAUGGUUGGUACAGCUCACAUUUAGGGUAGGUUUUCCUUCCUGGAUUAACCUAAUCUAGACAAUCCUUCGUGGACAAGUCCAGAUCUGCCCACCCCCCACCCUGCCCAGAAGUAAACAAAGUACAUAGAAUUGUCACUUGAGAACCCAAAGCUUAAGGCUUUUAGAAAGAUAGGCAUGCUAUCCUCUGACCACACCUAGCAGGCAGGAGUAAUUUGCAGCUCUGUUGUAGAUCUUUUGGUUAGACACCCUUUUUUUUUGGAGUGUGUUUAGGGAACACCUGCUGUCCCCAGGCACCAUUGUAGGCACCGAGGACAUCACUUUUACCAGAGAAGAUUCUGGGAGAAGAAACUCCACAAAUAUGGAAAGGAGCCAACAUCUGAUAAGGACUGAGCAGCCCAAAGUUAGCCUUCUGUACCCUGGAGAGCCUGGGAGUGGCAAAUCUGCCUAAUCCACGAGCCAGAAGACACAGCAGUCCCAACCUGGUGCCGAAGGCCUGGAAGAUCCCUGCUUGUUGCUGGGCUUCAUGAGAAGCUGGACAAUGACUUCAGUGGAGUACGGUGGCGGUGGCAGCAGACACAGCAGCAAGAAGCCAAGGUCUGCAGGUGACUCUACUCUUUCUUCAGACCUCAUUCUAUCCAAGGCUCACCCACUGUGAGGAAGGCUCACCCACUGUGAGGGAGGCUCACCCACUGUGAGGGAGGCUCACCCACUGUGAGGGAGGCUCACCCACUGUGAGGGAGGCUCACCCACUGUGAGGGAGGCUCACCCACUGUGAGGGAGGGUCUUUUCCACUCAGUUGUUUUUGGAAACACCUUCACAGGCUGGCACAGUGGUGUGCCUCCGAGUGUCAUAGCCCAUCACGCUGACGACGAAGUUUAACUAACACAGUGAGCGAUGAUGUUCCUAGCAACUGGAGCUAUGAUUGGGAUUCUCCCUGGGAGUGACAUGGAACUGUUAAAUGGGAGAGGGGACAUUUCAUUUGAGUCCCGGGGAGGGCUAGGAGACUGCAGGUGGGGGAGGGGAGAGAAGACACUCAGGAAUAGUCUACAGACAGGACAACCAGUGGCAGAGGUGAUUCCGAAACCGAGGCUGUAGCGGCCUCUAGCGACAGUAAGGGUUGGGUAGGGUUCUACAAGGACGCAGGACUAGUUGUAAGAGGCUCAUGCUGGAACCAGUUCUUAUGAUCAGUUAAUAGAUGACUGAUCUGUUUGCCUUUAUUCUUUUAAGUUAAUAAAACUGUUGGACAGUGCUCGCUUUUAAUCCCUGCAGUUGGGAGGCAGAGGCAGGAGGAUCUCUGUGAGUUCAAGGCCAGGCUGGUCUACAGAGGGAGUUUUAGGACAGCCAGAGCUACAUGAGACCAGACCCUUUCUCAAAAAAACGCAUGUCUGUGUUUGUAAAUAAACAUAUAUGAUAUA